CCUACGGGGGGCAGCAGUGAGGAAUAUUGGUCAAUGGGCGGAAGCCUGAACCAGCCAAGUAGCGUGCAGGAUGACGGCCCUACGGGUUGUAAACUGCUUUUAUACGGGAACAACGCGCCUUACGUGUAGGGCUUCGCAUGUACCGUAUGAAUAAGGACCGGCUAAUUCCGUUCCAGCAGCCGCGGUAAUACGGAAGGUCGGGGCGUUAUCCGGAUUUGUUGGGUUUAAAGGGUGGGUAGGCCGCAUGUCAAGCGUGCUGUGAAAUUUCCGGGCUCAACCCGUGCCUGGCAGCGGAAACUGGCGUGCUUGAGUGCGCGGAAAGCAGGCGGAAUGCGUCGUGUAGCGGUGAAAUGCUUAGAUAUGACGAAGAACCCCGAUGGCGAAGGCAGCUUGCUGCAGCGGAACUGACGCUGAUGCACGAAAGCGCGGGUAUCGAACAGGAUUAGAUACCCUGGUAGUC
RNAcentral lists this ribosomal RNA (460 nucleotides) under uncultured bacterium. Its description in RNAcentral is "partial 16S ribosomal RNA". It matches the Rfam family "Bacterial small subunit ribosomal RNA", at positions 338 to 795 of the family's 1533-position model. The record is from RNAcentral.